CCUACGGGUGGCUGCAGUGGGGGAUAUUGCAAAAUGAAGGAAAUUCUGAUGCAGCAACGCCGCGUGAGGGAAGAAGGUCUUCGGAUUUAAAACCCCGGUCCUCAGGGACGAAAAUGACGGUACCUGAGAAGGAAGCUCCGGCUAACUACGUGCCAGCAGCCGCGGAAAUACGAAGGGAGAAAGGGUUGUCCGGAUUAACUGGGUGUAAAGGGUGGGUAGGCGGCCCUGCAAGUCAGGUGUGAAAACUAUGGGCUUAACUCAUAGAUUGCACUUGAAACUGUGGGGCUUGAGUGAAGUAGAGGCAGGCGGAAUUCCCGGUGUAGCGGUGAAAUGCGUAGAGAUCGGGAAGAACGCCAGUGGCGAAGGCGGCCUGCUGGGCUUUAACUGACGCUGAGGCACGAAAGCGUGGGUAGCAAACAGGAUUAGAUACCCUGGUAGUC
RNAcentral lists this ribosomal RNA (440 nucleotides) under uncultured bacterium. RNAcentral describes it as "bacterial SSU rRNA". It matches the Rfam family "Bacterial small subunit ribosomal RNA", at positions 338 to 795 of the family's 1533-position model. The record is from RNAcentral.